GACGAACGCUGGCGGCGUGCUUAACACAUGCAAGUCGAACGGAAAGGCCCUGCUUUUGCGGGGUGCUCGUGUGGGGAACGGGUGAGUAACACACGAGUAAACUGCCCCUGACUUUGGGAUAACUUCAGGAAACUGGGGCGAAUACCGGGUAGGAGCUCCUGCAGCGUGGGGGGCGUUGGAAAGAUUCGGCCGUGGGGGCUGGACUCGCGGCUUAUCAGCUUGUUGGUGGGGUAGUGGCUUACAAGGGCUUUGACGGGUAGCCGGCCUUGGAGGUUGACCGGCGUCCUUGCGACUGCGAUACGCACCAGACUCCUACGGUCCGCAGCAGUGGAGAAUAUUGCAGAGCGGGCGGACGCCUGAUGCAGCGACGCCGCGUUCGUGAUGACGUCCUUCUAGUUGUAAACCGCUGUCUCCUGAGACGAAGCGUUAGUGACGGUAAUGGGUAAAGAAGCACCGGCUAACUACGUG
This 468-nucleotide ribosomal RNA is filed under the name uncultured bacterium. RNAcentral describes it as "partial 16S ribosomal RNA". It matches the Rfam family "Bacterial small subunit ribosomal RNA", at positions 28 to 507 of the family's 1533-position model. The record is from RNAcentral.